Molecule: ribosomal RNA, 581 nt
Filed under: uncultured Penicillium
Lineage: Eukaryota; Fungi; Ascomycota; Eurotiomycetes; Eurotiales; Aspergillaceae
Description: partial 18S ribosomal RNA
Rfam family: 5.8S ribosomal RNA (bases 205-358)
Source: RNAcentral
UCCGUAGGUGAACCUGCGGAAGGAUCAUUACCGAGUGAGGGUCCUCUGGGUCCAACCUCCCACCCGUGUUUAUCGUACCUUGUUGCUUCGGCGGGCCCGCCGCAAGGCCGCCGGGGGGCAUCUGCCCUCUGGCCCGCGCCCGCCGAAGACACCAUUGAACGCUGUCUGAAGAUUGCAGUCUGAGCAAUUAGUUAAAUAACUUAAAACUUUCAACAACGGAUCUCUUGGUUCCGGCAUCGAUGAAGAACGCAGCGAAAUGCGAUACGUAAUGUGAAUUGCAGAAUUCAGUGAAUCAUCGAGUCUUUGAACGCACAUUGCGCCCCCUGGUAUUCCGGGGGGCAUGCCUGUCCGAGCGUCAUUGCUGCCCUCAAGCACGGCUUGUGUGUUGGGCUCCGUCCUCCUUCCGGGGGACGGGCCCGAAAGGCAGCGGCGGCACCGCGUCCGGUCCUCGAGCGUAUGGGGCUUCGUCACCCGCUCUGCAGGCCCGGCCGGCGCUUGCCGACACAUCAAUCUUUUUUCCAGGUUGACCUCGGAUCAGGUAGGGAUACCCGCUGAACUUAAGCAUAUCAAUAAGCGGAGGA